Molecule: ribosomal RNA, 253 nt
Filed under: uncultured bacterium
Lineage: Bacteria
Description: partial 16S ribosomal RNA
Rfam family: Bacterial small subunit ribosomal RNA
Source: RNAcentral
GACGUAGGGGGCAAGCGUUGUCCGGAAUCACUGGGCGUAAAGGGCGCGUAGGCGGGCAGACGAGUCCGUGGAUCAAGACUUUGGCUCAACCAAAGAAGAGCCAUGGAGACCGGCCGCCUCGAGGAUCGAAGAGGAGAGAGGAAUUCCCGGAGUAGCGGUGGAAUGCGUAGAUACCGGGAGGAACACCAGUGGCGAAAGCGACUCUCUGGUCGAUCACUGACGCUGAGGCGCGAAAGCGUGGGGAGCAAACAGG